This 301-nucleotide ribosomal RNA is filed under the name uncultured bacterium. RNAcentral's name for it is "partial 16S ribosomal RNA". It matches the Rfam family "Bacterial small subunit ribosomal RNA", at positions 509 to 807 of the family's 1533-position model. The record is from RNAcentral.
CAGUAGCCACGGGAAUACGUAGGUGGCAAGCGUUGUCCGGAAUUAUUGGGCGUAAAGGGCUCGCAGGCGGUUUCUUAAGUCUGAUGUGAAAGCCCCCGGCUCAACCGGGGAGGGUCAUUGGAAACUGGGAAACUUGAGUGCAGAAGAGGAGAGUGGAGUUCCACGUGUAGCGGUGAAAUGCGUAGAGAUGUGGAGGAACACCAGUGGCGAAGGCGACUCUCUGGUCUGUAACUGACGCUGAGGAGCGAAAGCGUGGGGAGCGAACAGGAUUAGAUACACCCGUAGUCCCUGUCUCUUAUAC